AAAAAUAAUAUUUUUAAUAUUUUUGGAAUUAAAAAUUAAAUUUGGUGACGGAAAUUUUUGUUAAUAACCUGUCACCGCCAAAAAUAAUUUUUAAAAAUUUAUAAAUACUUGGGUUACGAUAUUUGUGACGGCUGCAUUUGUCACUGUCUGGUUGCAAUUUUGGUUAUCAUAUUGCUGACAAAUACCCCGUCACUAUGAUGGUCACUAAGUUCUGGCGCCCAUCCUACCCGCGCAUUCUGUGAC
This 243-nucleotide long non-coding RNA is filed under the name Phoenix dactylifera (date palm). RNAcentral's name for it is "long non-coding RNA (PDAC_LNC016056)". Lineage: Eukaryota; Viridiplantae; Streptophyta; Magnoliopsida; Arecales; Arecaceae. The record is from RNAcentral.